UCCGAUGUGGUGUAUCGGUAACAUUACCGCCUCUCAGAGAAAAAUGAAAACAGGAUGACUUAAUCUGGUCGCGGUAGCGCGGGGUUCGAUUCCCCGCAUCGGAA
Molecule: non-coding RNA, 104 nt
Organism: Mycena rebaudengoi
Lineage: Eukaryota; Fungi; Basidiomycota; Agaricomycetes; Agaricales; Mycenaceae
Source: the annotation of a GenBank genome assembly